RNAcentral lists this long non-coding RNA (1552 nucleotides) under Physcomitrium patens. Its description in RNAcentral is "long non-coding RNA (PPAT_LNC007187)". Lineage: Eukaryota; Viridiplantae; Streptophyta; Bryopsida; Funariales; Funariaceae. The record is from RNAcentral.
GACCAUUUCUUCUAGUAUCAGUUUAUCUUAGAUUGUGUUGAUGUGCAAUUUAUACUCUUACAUUUUAAAAUUGUAAUGAUUGGAUUUUUCCAAGAUGCAAUAAUGACAUUCUCAAACAAAGUUGUUCCAUUCCUUACAAUUGUUGCAAUUGCCUCUUUGCCUUAUUUUUAUUCCUUUGGAUGUUCUUAUAUGAUUAUUCAAUGUUAAUCCUCUUCCAAGAAUAAUUCUUGGAUUUUUGGAUUUUUGUAAAAUGUAUCAUGAUAUUUCAUGUUCUUAAUCAUUGAUAGUACUUCAUAUUAGGUGUAAUUUUCUUCUUUUUGAGAUUCUUCAAAGAAUAACUUACUAUACAAGCAUUCAAAGUUAAGAAGCUAGACUUGGCACAUCACAACUUAAACAAAGGAAUCAUAACUCUUCAGCAAUGCUCUAAGCAUAAUUUAUACUACUAUGGCGUCUGUUACCGAGUCUCUUACAUUGGAAAGUUGAGCAAUUGAUUUCUUUACCCUCUUGAUGAAGUCUUCUAUUGUUGUGAAUUCCAUCAUUUUGAUAUUACUUAACUUAUUGCUAAGAUAUAGUGCUCUUGCUUCAUUGAUUGCUUCAAAUAUAUGCUUGAGGGUCUCCCAUGCUGCAUCUGCAUCUGGCUCUUCUGUAUUUGACACAUGAUGCAACUCGUUAUCACGUGUAUCAACUUGGCUUUUACUUGAAAUAAAACUACUUUUUACUAUAAGGCGUGUCAAUCGGAUGAUUUGUUCCAACAAUUGGCUUCUGAAAAUGUGCGCACAGUGAAUGAAGAGAGCGCUGCUGCACAUCAGAGACAUGCUACUGAGUCUAAUUGUUGCGAAAAUGCUGCGAAGUCUAUGGUUGUUGAUCUAAUUCGUUCUCCGCCAGGUGAAAGAAAUGUUCAUGGAUGUAGCGCUUGUCACGAUUGGAGCUGGAGCACGUGAGGUUAGUUACAUUCAAGUGCUAAUGGGAGAAUCUACAGAAAGCCAUGGUGGAUGGAUUUGCAGCACAUGGCCAUGGGGAGAGAGUGGCCAGUUUCAAGCAGGACUGUGAGAUGAGCGGCGCAAUCGGAUAGCAUGUGGCGAUGAAUAAAAAAACAACUGCAACAGUGAGAGUGUGUUGCAAGGGCAAGGAAUAAUACCACCACGUCUGCGGACGUGUGGAGAAGAGCACAUCGAUGCGAGACUGCCUUUGAAUGGUAGAGAGGUUGGGACAAUAUUAGAGGUCGUGUAGGAUUCAUUUCCGAUUCUGCGCAGUUUUGGUUCCGGGCAGUGGGUUUAAGUGAGAGUUCAGAGCAAAAGUAGGAUGAGAGAAUAGCAAGAUCCUGCAAACAAAAACACGCACAACAAGUAUUAAAAAAACUUUUAUCUAACACAAUCAUAUUUUAGAACACAAUAGUCUGACUAUUUAUUGUAGUCUACGAAUCAACAUAAUGAAUAAGAUUUGAGACACAUUUUAAUUUUCGAACUAUUACAAAUUCCAAAACAUACAUGUUUCACUUGAAUACCAAUUCAAUUUUUCAGUAUCUUUCUUUCUUUCUAUUUUUUUUUUUUUU